GAAAUGCGAUAAGUAAUGCGAAUUGCAGAAUUUCCGUGAGUCAUCGAAUCUUUGAACGCACAUUGCGCCCAUUGGUAUUCCGAUGGGCAUGCCUGUUUGAGUGUCAUGGAAUUCUCAACUCUAUUUGCUUUUGUGAAUAGAGCUUGGAUUUGGAGGUUUAUUGCUGGUACUUGUGAUCGGCUCCUCUUGAAUGCAUUAGCUCGAACCUUUGCGGAUCAGCUAUCGGUGUGAUAAUUGUCUACGCCGUUGCAGUGAAGCAUAUCAAUGGGCUCGGCUUCCAAUCGUCCUUUACUGAACAAUGACUUUGACCUUUGACCUCAAAUCAGGUAGGAUUACCCGCUGAACUUAAGC
RNAcentral lists this unclassified non-coding RNA (351 nucleotides) under plant metagenome. RNAcentral describes it as "partial contains 5.8S ribosomal RNA, internal transcribed spacer 2, and large subunit ribosomal RNA". The stretch from base 1 to 106 matches the Rfam family "5.8S ribosomal RNA", at positions 50 to 154 of the family's 154-position model. The record is from RNAcentral.